GUGCCAGCCGCCGCGGUAAUACGGAGGGUCCAGGCGUUGUCCGGAAUCACUGGGCGUAAAGGGUGUGCAGGUGGGGCAGCAAGUCAGAGGUGAAAGCCCGCGGCUUAACCGCGGACGUGCCUUUGAAACUGCUGCUCUUGAGUCCCGGAGAGGUUGCCGGAAUUCGUGGUGUAGCGGUGAAAUGCGUAGAUAUCACGAGGAACACCAGAGGCGAAAGCGGACAGCUGGACGGGUACUGACGCUCAGGCACGAAAGCGUGGGGAGCAAACAGGAUUAGAUACCCCAGUAGUCC
RNAcentral lists this ribosomal RNA (292 nucleotides) under uncultured bacterium. Its description in RNAcentral is "partial 16S ribosomal RNA". It matches the Rfam family "Bacterial small subunit ribosomal RNA", at positions 505 to 796 of the family's 1533-position model. The record is from RNAcentral.